Molecule: ribosomal RNA, 254 nt
Filed under: uncultured bacterium
Lineage: Bacteria
Description: partial 16S ribosomal RNA
Rfam family: Bacterial small subunit ribosomal RNA
Source: RNAcentral
CACGUAGGGGGCGAGCGUUGUCCGGAUUUAUUGGGCGUAAAGAGCUCGUAGGCGGCUCAGUAAGUCGGGUGUGAAACCCCCGGGCUCAACCCGGGGACGCCACCUGAUACUGCUGUGGCUUGAGUCCGGUAGGGGAGCGUGGAAUUCCUGGUGUAGCGGUGAAAUGCGCAGAUAUCAGGAGGAACACCAGCGGCGAAGGCGGCGCUCUGGACCGGUACUGACGCUGAGACGCGAAAGCGUGGGGAGCGAACAGG